GCGGUAGAGAGAAGCUUGCUUCGCUUGAGAGCGGCGGACGGGUGAGUAAUGCCUAGGAAUCUGCCUGGUAGUGGGGGAUAACGUUCGGAAUACGGACGCUAAUACCGCAUACGUCCUACGGGAGAAAGCAGGGGACCUUCGGGCCUUGCGCUAUCAGAUGAGCCUAGGUCGGAUUAGCUAGUUGGUGAGGUAAUGGCUCACCAAGGCGACGAUCCGUAACUGGUCUGAGAGGAUGAUCAGUCACACUGGAACUGAGACACGGUCCAGACUCCUACGGGAGGCAGCAGUGGGGAAUAUUGGACAAUGGGCGAAAGCCUGAUCCAGCCAUGCCGCGUGUGUGAAGAAGGUCUUCGGAUUGUAAAGCACUUUAAGUUGGGAGGAAGGGUUGUAGAUUAAUACUCUGCAAUUUUGACGUUACCGACAGAAUAAGCACCGGCUAACUCUGUGCCAGCAGCCGCGGUAAUACAGAGGGUGCAAGCGUUAAUCGGAAUUACUGGGCGUAAAGCGCGCGUAGGUGGUUUGUUAAGUUGGAUGGUGAAAUCCCCGGGCUCAACCUGGGAACUGCAUUCAAAACUGACUGACUAGAGUAUGGUAGAGGGUGGUGGAAUUUCCUGUGUAGCGGUGAAAUGCGUAGAUAUAGGAAGGAAGACCAGUGGCGAAGGCGACCACCUGGACUGAUACUGACACUGAGGUGCGAAAGCGUGGGGAGCAAACAGGAUUAGAUACCCUGGUAGUCCACGCGUAAACGAUGUCAACUAGCCGUUGGGAGCCUUGAGCUCUUAGUGGCGCAGCUAACGCAUUAAGUUGACCGCCUGGGGAGUACGGCCGCAAGGUUAAAACUCAAAUGAAUUGACGGGGGCCCGCACGAAGCGGUGGAGCAUGUGGUUUAAUUCGAAGCAACGCGAAGAACCUUACCAGGCCUUGACAUCCAAUGAACUUUCCAGAGAUGGAUUGGUGCCUUCGGGAACAUUGAGACAGGUGCUGCAUGGCUGUCGUCAGCUCGUGUCUUGAGAUGUUGGGUUAAGUCCCGUAACGAGCGCAACCCUUGUCCUUAGUUACCAGCACGUUAUGGU
This 1073-nucleotide ribosomal RNA is filed under the name Pseudomonas fluorescens. Its description in RNAcentral is "bacterial SSU rRNA". It matches the Rfam family "Bacterial small subunit ribosomal RNA", at positions 66 to 1132 of the family's 1533-position model. Lineage: Bacteria; Pseudomonadati; Pseudomonadota; Gammaproteobacteria; Pseudomonadales; Pseudomonadaceae. The record is from RNAcentral.